GGGGAAUUGGGUGCUCGGAGCGCUCCCGGGGCGGCCGCCGGGACUGGCGCUCGUUACUAGGGUGCUGGUGCCACGGACUAAGGAAAAACAAAAUAAAAUCACACAGCAAUAAAGUUGUAGUGAAAAUGGUGUGUGCAUACAGUGGAAUAGUAUUCAGCCUGGAAAAAAGAAGGAACUUCUGUCACCUGCUACAACAUGGAUGGACCUUGAGGACAUAAUGAAGUGAAAUAAGCCAGUCACGAAGAAGCAAUUUUUCAGUGCCGGGCUCUGUGUGAAGCACUGUGGAUAUAGCAUAAUAUGGCCCUCUCUUUGUCCCAAAGGGCCUUUGAAUGACCAGGAGACAAAAAGGCGGACCUGCUGCCUUCUGGAGCUGGGCACCCAUGAUAAUCCGCACCCCCCUUCCUACAUCGCCUGAACACGUGGCUCCCACACGAGACUUUCCCCGCAGCCGGCCUCCCCUAGCCUCCCGCAGCCCCCCCCUCCC
Molecule: long non-coding RNA, 484 nt
Organism: Nyctereutes procyonoides (raccoon dog)
Lineage: Eukaryota; Metazoa; Chordata; Mammalia; Carnivora; Canidae
Exons: 4
Source: RefSeq, a predicted model, not a curated record